AAGUCCAAGUUCACUACCCUUAACCAUAUGGCCGGCCUUAGGGUGUUGUUUGGGCUUUUGGGCUAUUGUGAAUUAAGUUGUCAUACAACUUAAGUCAAUGGGCUUGACGUUCGAAGCCCAUUGGGCCUAAACGUCCAAAACUAUCCCGAGGUCUUUAACGAACUUAUUCGUUUGAUUAAUUAACAUAUUAAUUAAUCCUUGCCACAAAUAAUUAAACCAUUUAAUUAUUCUUACUCAUCUCCAUUGUUUCUUCAAUCUCCACCUUAUAUGGUGUACGAUCCAUUAGGUUCCUUUUAGCGAGGCAGUGGGCGAUUCAAACUCUUU
This 324-nucleotide long non-coding RNA is filed under the name Malus domestica (apple). RNAcentral describes it as "long non-coding RNA (MDOM_LNC012641)". Lineage: Eukaryota; Viridiplantae; Streptophyta; Magnoliopsida; Rosales; Rosaceae. The record is from RNAcentral.